RNAcentral lists this ribosomal RNA (268 nucleotides) under uncultured archaeon. RNAcentral describes it as "partial 16S ribosomal RNA". It matches the Rfam family "Archaeal small subunit ribosomal RNA", at positions 718 to 982 of the family's 1478-position model. The record is from RNAcentral.
AGUCACUGACAUUAGAUACCCCCUGUAGUCCAGGGUGUAAACGCUGCCGACUUGGUGUUGGAGGCCCUUCGGGGGCAUUCAGUGCCGGAGAGAAGUUGUUAAGUCGGCCACUUGGGGGAGUACGUCCCGCAAGGAUGAAACUUAAAGGAAUUGGCGGGGGAGCACCGCAACGGGAGGAGCGUGCGGUUUAAUUGGAUUCAACACCGUAAAACUCACCAGGGAAGACUGUUACAUGAAGGCCGAGAUGAAGACUCUGCUAGAUUUUCAG